RNAcentral lists this long non-coding RNA (471 nucleotides) under Trifolium pratense (red clover). Its description in RNAcentral is "long non-coding RNA (TPRA_LNC009229)". The record is from RNAcentral. Lineage: Eukaryota; Viridiplantae; Streptophyta; Magnoliopsida; Fabales; Fabaceae.
UUUAUUUAAAAUACGAGAAAUAAGUAACUAAUUAUAUAAUAAAACUUUGAAAUCGAAAUAGAAACAUAUAAAAUAUAAUAGUAAAUUAACUAAAUAAAUAGCAUAUUUUUAGGUGUAUCAAACUCCCCUAAACUUGAACCAUUGCUUGUCCUCAAGCAAUUUAGCUUGCAUAUAGAAAUCAUUUGAAAUGCGAAGCAACUCACACACACAGACUUAGAGAAAAAUAACAUCACAAGUACUCAUACGUGGUCAGAAAUUCAAAUCGGCUAAGAUUAAUUAGUAGGUUCUUUACACAAUCAAAAAGGGUAUUUCAACGACACACAAAGUUCUCCCUCUUAUACAUAUCGAAUUUGGAUCCUGCCGUUGUACUAAAAUCUAAAUCUUCUCCUUUGUUUCAUCCUUUUUCAUUCUAGACAGUCACAUUAAGACCCUUUAUCUAUGUCACACACAUGGUAAGAAAGCCGGUUAGCN